AUUCUGGCUCAGGAUGAACGCUAGCGGCAGGCUUAACACAUGCAAGUCGAGGGGCAACGCGAGUAGCAAUACUUGGCGGCGACCGGCGCAAGGGUGCGUAACGCGUGAGCAACAUGCCCGUAUCAGGGGGGAUAAUCCAGGGAAACUUGGUCUAAUACCCCAUAGUAAUUUUGUAAGGCAUCUUAUAAGAUUUAAAGCUUUGGUGGAUACGGAUUGGCUCGCGUGACAUUAGCUGGAUGGUAAGGUAACGGCUUACCAUGGCUAUGAUGUCUAGGGGUUCUGAGAGGAAGGUCCCCCCACACUGGAACUGAGACACGGUCCAGACUCCUACGGGAGGCAGCAGUGAGGAAUAUUGGACAAUGGAUGGAAAUCUGAUCCAGCCAUGCCGCGUGAAGGAAGAAAGGUCCUAUGGAUUGUAAACUUCUUUUGUAUGGGAGCAAUAAGGCCUACGAGUAGGUUGAUGAGAGUACCAUACGAAUAAGCACCGGCUAACUCCGUGCCAGCAGCAGC
RNAcentral lists this ribosomal RNA (510 nucleotides) under uncultured bacterium. Its description in RNAcentral is "bacterial SSU rRNA". It matches the Rfam family "Bacterial small subunit ribosomal RNA", at positions 16 to 518 of the family's 1533-position model. The record is from RNAcentral.